CUACGGGUGGCUGCAGUGGGGAAUAUUGGACAAUGGGGGAAACCCUGAUCCAGCAAUGCCGCGUGUGUGAAGAAGGCCUGCGGGUUGUAAAGCACUUUCGGUUGGGAGGACUGCUUCUAGCACUAAUAUUGUUGGAAGUUGACGUUACCUUCAGAAGAAGCACCGGCUAACUCCGUGCCAGCAGCCGCGGUAAUAGCGGAGGGUGCAAGCGUUAAUCGGAAUUACUGGGCGUAAAGCGCGCGUAGGCGGCUAGGUCAGUCGGGUGUGAAAGCCCCGGGCUUAACCUGGGAACUGCAUCCGAUACUGUCUAGCUUGAGUAAAGGAGAGGGGAGUGGAAUUCCACAUGUAGCGGUGAAAUGCGUAGAUAUGUGGAGGAACACCAAUGGCGAAGGCAGCUCUCUGGCCUGAUACUGACGCUGAGGUGCGAAAGCGUGGGGAGCAAACAGGAUUAGAUACCCUAGUAGUC
RNAcentral lists this ribosomal RNA (466 nucleotides) under uncultured bacterium. RNAcentral describes it as "partial 16S ribosomal RNA". It matches the Rfam family "Bacterial small subunit ribosomal RNA", at positions 339 to 795 of the family's 1533-position model. The record is from RNAcentral.